GGCGGCAUGCCUUACACAUGCAAGUCGAACGGCAGCACGGGAGCAAUCCUGGUGGCGAGUGGCGAACGGGUGAGUAAUACAUCGGAACGUGUCCUGUAGUGGGGGAUAGCCCGGCGAAAGCCGGAUUAAUACCGCAUACGCUCUACGGAGGAAAGGGGGGGAUCUUAGGACCUCCCGCUACAGGGGCGGCCGAUGGCAGAUUAGCUAGUUGGUGGGGUAAAGGCCUACCAAGGCGACGAUCUGUAGCUGGUCUGAGAGGACGACCAGCCACACUGGGACUGAGACACGGCCCAGACUCCUACGGGAGGCAGCAGUGGGGAAUUUUGGACAAUGGGGGAAACCCUGAUCCAGCAAUGCCGCGUGUGUGAAGAAGGCCUUCGGGUUGUAAAGCACUUUUGUCCGGAAAGAAAACCUCUGGGUUAAUACCCCGGGGGGAUGACGGUACCGGAAGAAUAAGCACCGGCUAACUACGUGCCAGCAGCCGCGGUAAUACGUAGGGUGCAAGCGUGAAUCGGAAUUACUGGGCGUAAAGCGUGCGCAG
This 541-nucleotide ribosomal RNA is filed under the name forest soil bacterium 4S2.H11. Its description in RNAcentral is "bacterial SSU rRNA". It matches the Rfam family "Bacterial small subunit ribosomal RNA", at positions 38 to 574 of the family's 1533-position model. The record is from RNAcentral.